AUCCUUUUGUGCUUUAGAAGGGAGAGAAUUGGGUUUUCAUGUUAUUGUGGUAAGAGGUGCCUCCUUCAAACCUUGUAAUGACAUCUAGCCUAACUCCUCAGAGG
This is a non-coding RNA of Fukomys damarensis (Damara mole-rat), 104 nucleotides long. The record is from Rfam. NCBI's taxonomy places the organism in Eukaryota, Metazoa, Chordata, Mammalia, Rodentia, Bathyergidae.